RNAcentral lists this transfer RNA (73 nucleotides) under Camelus bactrianus (Bactrian camel). It matches the Rfam family "tRNA". Rfam says of the family: Transfer RNA (tRNA) molecules are approximately 80 nucleotides in length. Their secondary structure includes four short double-helical elements and three loops (D, anti-codon, and T loops). The record is from Rfam by way of RNAcentral. Lineage: Eukaryota; Metazoa; Chordata; Mammalia; Artiodactyla; Camelidae. RNAcentral also lists the same sequence under 2 other names.
GAGGGUAGAGCUCAGUGGUAGAGUGCAUGCCUAGCAAUGAUGAGGUGCUGGGUUCAAUUCCCCAGUACCCCCA